Molecule: long non-coding RNA, 544 nt
Filed under: Citrus maxima (pomelo)
Lineage: Eukaryota; Viridiplantae; Streptophyta; Magnoliopsida; Sapindales; Rutaceae
Description: long non-coding RNA (CMAX_LNC004427)
Source: RNAcentral
UGUUGUUGUUGUUGUUGUUGUUAUUAUUAUUAUUAUUAUUAUUAUUAUAUAGCACAUAAAUCCCUAAUUGUUUCAUAUAGCAUUUUCUGUAGUCAUCACAAAAAACACAAAAGUCAAGAUUACAUCCUUACCUUGUCUUUAAUUCGAAAAUGAAAGAGAAUUUACGAGAAGAUGAUGUGUUCAAGUUACUUGAAUGGCUCAAGAUGACAGCAACAGUUUGAUGGAUCCGACUAGUUGUUUGUUAUGAGCGAGAUGGUGGCUUCAAUUUUAUGUGCUUGGUAACCAAAUCCAAGAGAGAAAUUAGAGAGUCGAAAGAGAGAAAGAUGCGAUUAGCAGACGAGAGAAGAUGAGAGAAAAAAUUUCAUGUAGCCCAUACAAACGGAAACCGAACUCAACCAAUUAGAUAAUUUAGUUUGAUUUUAAUUCCAAACUUAGCCGUGAUUAAGUAAUUAAUUUGUUAGCUCUAGUUCUAACAAUAAGUGAAGAAGAGGAUCUUGUUGGAUGCCCGAAAUGCUAUAACAGAGUAAUGUUAGCUUUGUAUGGG